CAUAAACUAUCUCAUGAUAAAUACAAACUCCAAAUAAUAAACAUAAACAAAAAUAGGAUAAAUAUUUGUUGCCCAGAGGUAGCAACGCACGAGGUGGGGGGGAUGGAUUAGGUUCUUUUAAAAUUUAAUCAAAUUAAGCUCUAAAACAAAUAUGUGCUUCUAGUUAAAUCAAUUCAAAUGGUUGUGAUGAACAUAAAUCAAGUAGCAGC
RNAcentral lists this long non-coding RNA (209 nucleotides) under Elaeis guineensis (African oil palm). Its description in RNAcentral is "long non-coding RNA (EGUI_LNC033597)". Lineage: Eukaryota; Viridiplantae; Streptophyta; Magnoliopsida; Arecales; Arecaceae. The record is from RNAcentral.